AAAAUAAUUAAUAAUUUUUCAUUCGAAUGUUAUAUAUAAAGUCCAAUUAUCAAAAUAAUUAAUAAUAACUCAAUGUGUGAGCAUGAUCUUUGUUGACUAUACGAGUUUGGAAUCGAUUAUAAUCUUGAGGUAUAUGUUGUCUCUUACGAGUACCUAAAACUCUAGGCAGUGAUAUGAGGUGUGAGCAUGAUUCAAAACACGUAAACUGUUAUUGUGUUAUUUAUUAUGAAUUUGUGAUAUUUAUCAUAUCUUGUGGUUCGUACAUCAUAAAUCAUAACCCUAAACAAUCUUAUUCGGAACCCAAACCCUAAAUAACUAAACCCUAUACCCUAAACGGCAAACAACAAAUCAGCCGUAAAGGUCUUAAUAACUCAGCCUGUUAGUGUAAGUUAAUAUUUACAUAUGGCGCGAAAAUUUUAGAUAUUUUAUCUCGCGACCUUUAAUGUUCUAUACUUCCCCUAUAUAUAGCCCCCUUCUCUUGCACUUUCUCGCCUUAUCUCACUAGAAAACCUAAACAAUAUCUCUAUAUCGCCUUACAAAGUUAUGAUUGUUCCUGGUUAUUCAGAAAGGUUAGAGAACAGAGUCAAUGAGAUACUAAACUCUGAAAAUCGUGAAAACCUUCCCGUUCUAUACCCUGGCCCGGGUUUCUUGCUUGACAGCGUAAUCUGGUUUAAAUUUCUAAGCGAUCUCUCCCUGGCCAUCCCGUCGAUUUUAGCAGAAGGAUGGGUUCAUGAUUGGCCGACAUGGCGCGCCAUUCCCGAUCAUUUUAAGGAACGCUGGUUUCUUCAACUCGCUCGCAAACGCACGUGGGCACGAAGAUAUAAUUUUCAAGUUUGGACAAAUUUUAAUCUGGUGGCCAGAACGGUGUUUCGUUGUCAGAUGCGCCUCUUGAAGAGGAGGUGGGCACAUGGGGGUGAGAAGCCUGCGUGGAUGCUAACUAGAGUUUGGCGUGAUCUUGUCCACAUGUUUGAAGAAUUUGGUCCUGAUAAUUUUGGUUUUAGUAAUUGAUUUGUUGUUUUUGUUUGUAUUCAGCCGUCAAGUUUUUGUAAAGUUGUUUAACUCAGCCGUUAAGUUUCUAUAAAGUUGUUUAACUCAGCCAUUAAGUUUCUAUUAAGUUGUUUAACUCAGCCGUUUAGUUUCUAUAAAGUUGUUUAACUCAGCCGUUAAGGUUUUAUAAAGUUGUUUAACUCAGCCGGAAUUGUUUGCGUCAAACGUCAGUGUUUCAGUUAAGUAACUCAGCCGUAAUACGAAUUAAGAUACUAAUAACUCAGCCUUAUAUUGUAAAAAUACAAAGCCAAAGUUAACGCUAUUUUCCAUGUAUUAUUAUGGCCGCCAUUACUUAAUCGAGACCAGUAUUAGAGUCCUUUAUUCUCUUAUUAUUAUACGUGCGAGAAAUUCCAUCGUCAUUGAGAAUAUCGAGACUCAUUAUUAUGGCCGUCAUUACAUUAUCGAGACUACUAUUAUUAGAGACCUUUAUUCUGUUAUUAUUAUGUGCAUGAGAAAUUUCGUUUGCAUUGAGAAUAUCGAGACUCAUUAUUAUACGGCUGGCACGCAUGUAUCGGAUUAUUUACAUAAUCGAGGUAUUGUUAUUUUUAAUGUAACUCAGUCAAUACAUCUACGUUAACUCAGCCAAAAUAUAGACGCUAACACAGCCGUAAUACGAAUUCAACUUAAGUGUUUGAUAAAAUAAUAAAGAACCUUUCGUAUUUCUUGAUUUGAUUGAGUAUUCGUCAUAAUUAAAGUGCAUCACGUGUGUGGAAAAUACGGCUCAAACCUAAUAUCGAGGCAUUUAAUAGUUUAUUAAUUUAAAUUAUUCCUCUUUAUUUGAAUUUUUUUAAAAAAAUGAUUUUAUAUUACUACCACUAUUGUUUUAACUUUGUCUUUCACACCAAUUUCUCUUUCAUUCAAAGAAAAUGUCUUCUUCAUCAUCUGUGUCUGGUAACACUUACUUUCACCGCCGGCAUGUGGAAAGAGGAACGCCGAAACAGUGUUGGUGUGGUGAACCCGCUGAAUUAUGUACAUCUGCAUCACGGGCUAAUCCAGGACGACUGUACUAUUGCUGUCGCAAAGGAUAUAUUAAGGUUUGAUUUUUAAUUUUAUUCAUUAUACUGUCAAUGUGAUACUAAGAGCUGGGCAUGUUGGUGAAAUCAGAGACAUUUAUUCAAAUGGGCGGACGAGUGCUUGGUGGAAGAGGUAGAAGAUAUGAAAUCGGUGAUGAGUGACAUGACCAAAGGCAUAUCAGAUCUGAGAGUAGACGUUGGUCGGUUGGAGAAAGAACUCGGUAAAGCGGAAAAGAUGAAGUGUUUGAUGUUUCCAGUGGUGGUUUGUGGGUUUGGUAUGGCCAUAUUUUGGCACUAUUUCUUUGCGUAGUCAUGUGUUGUAAUCAUAAUUUAGACGCAAUGUUUUUAGUAACUCAGCUAUUACGUUCAAUGCAACUCAGCCAGUACGUUAAUUAAUUCAUAAUCAAACAAUAACCCAGCCAUAAUACGAGUAUUCGUCAGUCAUAACGUUUUAAUAACUCAGUUAUAACGUUAACUGCAAUUCAGCCGUUACGUUAAUUAAGUCACUAUCAAACAAUAACCCACCCAUAAUACGAGUAUUCGUCAGUCAUAACGUUUUAAUAACUCAGUUAUAACGUUAACUGCAAUUCAGCCGUUACGUUAAUUAAGUCACUAUCAAACAAUAACCCAGCCAUAAUAUGAGUAUUCGUCAGUCAUAAUGUUUUAAUAACUCAGUUAUAACGUUCACUGCAACUCAGCCGUUACGUUAAUUAAGUCAUAAUCAAACAAUAACCCAGCCAUUAUAUGAGUAUUAGUCAGCCAUAAAAAGAGACAUACAUAAAUUUCUGGUUUGACAUACAUAAGUUUAGGUUCAAAAUCACUCUUCCCUUUCCGGACAUACACACAUUAGUGGAGUAGUUUUCCCAUCUCCAACCACAUUGAACACAAAUAAGUCUCCUAUGGCGCAUCUGUUAGCACGACAGAACUUUCUCCAGCCUCUUCUGAUGUAAUACAUGCCGUCUGCUUCGCUAAAUCGCAAACUCACAGUCCAUGAAUUUCCCUCUUUGUUGACAAGUAUUAUCUCUUGGCAUUGUUUGUUCAAAGCAGUACAAGUCGUAGCUCCCUCAGGAAGAUACUGCAAACACAGAACGUAAAGACACAGAACAGAUCAAACCAUAUGUUAAUAACUAACUAAAUACUGCAAACACAGAACGUAAAGACACUGAACAGAUCAAACCAUAUGUUAAUAACUAACUAAAUAUGGUCUAUAACUGAAAAUCGACUCACAAGUUUGUCUUCUUUUAGAUUCGAAGCAGUGACCUCAGCCUGAAAACAAUAGUCAAAUGAGAAAGAAGGAACAUCAUCCGCAUCGGCUUCUUCCUUGAUGAUGUGAGGAUGUGUAUACUGAAUCUCACAACAGCUAGGACCAAAUGGUGUGACAUGAAACACCAUAUCUCCUUCGUGUUUGAAGAUGACAAUGUCACCGAUUUGAAGGUCAUGUGCUGUGGUGAAAUCUUUCCAACCUCCGGUGAGUCUCCUGCCUUCUUGUAUCACUUCCCAAGUUUGAUCUGUAGCGUCCGAUCUUAGUUUCCAUGUUUUCCGGUUUGUCUUCCCUUCUAUGUGUUGUGAGAAGAAGCCAAGUGGUAUUGUCUGCAGGUCAGAAAAGCCAAAGUUAAGCAAACUCUAAAAUAGGAACAUAUACACAUGAGAAAUAGAGAGUGUGUGUCUACCACGCCACUGUGGAAAUCGGGAAGCAGAGGCUUCAAGAAAUGAGGUUUGUGCGAAUUAGGCAUCUGCAAACAAGAAAAGAAUGGGAAGAAAACAUCAUCGAACCGAAGCUGAAUCCACAAAUCUGCAAAAGAGAGGCUUCGGUUUUACCUUCGUAUCGAGACGCUUCGAAAUCGCCUGUCGUCGAGAGCUUUUCUUUUUUUUUCGCGUUGGGACGAAAAUGAUUUCUUUUUUUUUCCUUGUGUAAAGUAAAUAAUGCCGGAAAAUAUAACUCAGCCGUAACAUUGUUAAUAAUUAAUAAUGCCGAAGAAUAAAACUCAGCUGUAACAUAAUUUAACUCAGUGUCGAGUUAUGUCCUGACACGCAUGUCCGAGUAAUUUACGAUAUCGAGGUCAUUAUAUGUUUAUUUUAUUUGGACACGCGUGAUCUUUAUAUUUAAUAUGAUUUCCCUAUUAUAUUUCCAAUAUUUACAAGUAAAAGAUAAAGGAAAAACCAGAGUCGACUUCUAAAACCUAAAGUAAGUCUCUUUCGUCCAAAAUCGAUUUUGAAUUAUUUUUUGUAUUUUGGCCUUGUUCGAUUUUGCAUUAUUUUUGUGUGCUAUGAUGUAUAAAUUAGAUGGAUCUACAGCGUGGAAUUCCAAGGACGUGCGACUGUGGAGCUGCUACCAUUGUGUUAACGUCAGGUACAAUAAAGAAUCCGGGUAGAAGAUUUUAUCGAUGUGGAGCAAAUUCGGGUCAAAACCAUGUUUUCAAAUGGCUUGAUGAAGCACAUGAUGAAGAGUUUGUAGUUGUGGCAAACAAACUCGCGACGGUAGAGCAGGAUUUGGCCGCUAUAAAAGCAGAAUUAGAUGAUAUGAAGAAAGACAUAACUGAGAUCAUAAAAAUUAUUGAAUGUCUUAGGAUGAAGUCUUAAAUGUAUUAGUUGCUACAACUACUUCUUUGUUUACUCAGAUUCUGUACUCAUAAGUCAGUCUAUGUUUAUGUAACUCGGAUUUAACUCAGCCGUUGUUAAUUUCUUCCGAAACAACAACUCAGCCGUAACAUGUAAUAAUAUCAGUCUUAACGUUUAGGUGAACAAUCAAAAAACAGUCAUAUUUCUAACAAUCAAAAAACAAUCAAAACUCAGCC
This is a long non-coding RNA of Brassica rapa (field mustard), 4855 nucleotides long. RefSeq lists it as uncharacterized. The record is from RefSeq and is a predicted model, not a curated record. NCBI's taxonomy places the organism in Eukaryota, Viridiplantae, Streptophyta, Magnoliopsida, Brassicales, Brassicaceae.